CUGUAAACGAUGUCGAUUUGGAGUUUGUUGCCUAGAGUGAUGGGCUCCGAAGCUAACGCGAUAAAUCGACCGCUGGGGAGUACGGCCGCAAGGUUAAAACUCAAAUGAAUUGACGGGGGCCCGCACAGCGGUGAAGCAUGUGGUUUAAUUCGAUGCAACGCGAAGAACCUUACCUGGUCUUGACAUCCAUAGAAUUCUGCAGAGAUGUGGGAGUGCCUUCGGGAACUAUGAGACAGGUGCUGCAUGGCUGUCGUCAGCUCGUGUUGUGAAAUGUUGGGUUAAGUCCCGCAACGAGCGCAACCCUUAUUCUUUGUUGCCAGCGAUUUGGUCGGGAACUCAAAGGAGACUGCCGUUGAUAAAGCGGAGGAAGGUGGGGACGACGUCAAGUCAUCAUGGCCCUUACGACCAGGGCUACACACGUGCUACAAUGGCGUAUACAAAGGGAAGCGAAGGUGCGAGCUGGAGCGGAUCUCAUAAAGUACGUCUAAGUUCGGAUUGGAGUCUGCAACUCGACUCCAUGAAGUCGGAAUCGCUAGUAAUCGUAGAUCAGAAUGCUACGGUGAAUACGUUCCCGGGCCUUGUACACACCGCCCGUCACACCAUGGGAGUGGGUUGCACCAGAAGUAGAUAGCUUAACCGCGAGGGGGGCGUUUACCACGGUGUGAUUCAUGACUGGGGUGAAGUCGUAACAAGGUAACCA
This 700-nucleotide ribosomal RNA is filed under the name uncultured Enterobacteriaceae bacterium. Its description in RNAcentral is "bacterial SSU rRNA". It matches the Rfam family "Bacterial small subunit ribosomal RNA", at positions 800 to 1502 of the family's 1533-position model. Lineage: Bacteria; Pseudomonadati; Pseudomonadota; Gammaproteobacteria; Enterobacterales; Enterobacteriaceae. The record is from RNAcentral.